This 253-nucleotide ribosomal RNA is filed under the name uncultured bacterium. RNAcentral's name for it is "partial 16S ribosomal RNA". It matches the Rfam family "Bacterial small subunit ribosomal RNA", at positions 524 to 776 of the family's 1533-position model. The record is from RNAcentral.
UACAGAGGUCUCAAGCGUUGUUCGGAUUCAUUGGGCGUAAAGGGUGCGUAGGCGGCGCGGUAAGUCGGGUGUGAAAUCUUGGAGUUUAACUCCGAAACUGCAUUCGAUACUGCCGUGCUUGAGGACUGGAGAGGAGACUGGAAUUUACGGUGUAGCGGUGAAAUGCGUAGAUAUCGUAAGGAAGACCAGUGGCGAAGGCGGGUCUCUGGACAGUUCCUGACGCUGAGGCACGAAGGUCAGGGGAGCAAACGGG